UNGACCUCGGAUCAGGUAGGGAUACCCG
RNAcentral lists this ribosomal RNA (28 nucleotides) under Sphaerulina musiva. Its description in RNAcentral is "partial 28S ribosomal RNA". Lineage: Eukaryota; Fungi; Ascomycota; Dothideomycetes; Mycosphaerellales; Mycosphaerellaceae. The record is from RNAcentral.